This 471-nucleotide ribosomal RNA is filed under the name Bacillus subtilis. RNAcentral's name for it is "bacterial SSU rRNA". It matches the Rfam family "Bacterial small subunit ribosomal RNA", at positions 39 to 495 of the family's 1533-position model. The record is from RNAcentral. Lineage: Bacteria; Bacillati; Bacillota; Bacilli; Caryophanales; Bacillaceae.
AAAAAAAAAAAAAAUGUGCUUAACACAUGCAAGUCGAGCGGACAGAUGGGAGCUUGCUCCCUGAUGUUAGCGGCGGACGGGUGAGUAACACGUGGGUAACCUGCCUGUAAGACUGGGAUAACUCCGGGAAACCGGGGCUAAUACCGGAUGGUUGUUUGAACCGCAUGGUUCAAACAUAAAAGGUGGCUUCGGCUACCACUUACAGAUGGACCCGCGGCGCAUUAGCUAGUUGGUGAGGUAACGGCUCACCAAGGCAACGAUGCGUAGCCGACCUGAGAGGGUGAUCGGCCACACUGGGACUGAGACACGGCCCAGACUCCUACGGGAGGCAGCAGUAGGGAAUCUUCCGCAAUGGACGAAAGUCUGACGGAGCAACGCCGCGUGAGUGAUGAAGGUUUUCGGAUCGUAAAGCUCUGUUGUUAGGGAAGAACAAGUACCGUCGAAUAGGGCGUACCUGAUCGUCCAAACAGG